This 199-nucleotide long non-coding RNA is filed under the name Capsella grandiflora. Its description in RNAcentral is "long non-coding RNA (CGRA_LNC000523)". Lineage: Eukaryota; Viridiplantae; Streptophyta; Magnoliopsida; Brassicales; Brassicaceae. The record is from RNAcentral.
GUGGUACACCACGGGUCCAUCAUUUAACGUGUCUUUCUUAUAUAAAAUUUCAAUCGGUUAAAAUUUGAUAUGUUCUUAUUAGAGUUGGUCAAGCUUAUUAUUUGAGGUCCAACAAAAACAAUGUAUCGUUUGCGAUAUAUAUACUUUCGAUUUUAGAUUUCUAUAUGAUAAUUUACCCCGUGAUACACCACGAGACGGU